This is a non-coding RNA of Chrysemys picta bellii (western painted turtle), 73 nucleotides long. Lineage: Eukaryota; Metazoa; Chordata; Testudines; Emydidae. The record is from the annotation of a RefSeq genome assembly.
ACCUGACUAGCUCAGUGGGUAGAGCAUGUGACUCUUAAUCUCAGGGCUGUGGGUUUGAGCCCCACGUUGGGUG